Molecule: ribosomal RNA, 200 nt
Filed under: uncultured bacterium
Lineage: Bacteria
Description: partial 16S ribosomal RNA
Rfam family: Bacterial small subunit ribosomal RNA
Source: RNAcentral
AACGAACGCUGGCGGCGUGGAUAAGACAUGCAAGUCGAACGGGAUAUCAAGUUAGCAAUAAUGAGAUAUUUAGUGGCGAACGGGUGCGUAACACGUGGGAAUCUGCCGAGGAGUGGGGGAUAGCUCGCCGAAAGGCGAAUUAAUACCGCAUUAAAAGAGGGGGACCGCAAGGCCUCUCGCUUCUCGAUGAGCCCGCGGCC